RNAcentral lists this unclassified non-coding RNA (236 nucleotides) under Hevea brasiliensis (rubber tree). Lineage: Eukaryota; Viridiplantae; Streptophyta; Magnoliopsida; Malpighiales; Euphorbiaceae. The record is from RNAcentral.
GAUACCGGAACAGCCGGUGACAAUGGUGCCUUGGUGUGUUAAGCGUUUAUUGAGAAUAAAACAACCGUAGGAUUGGUUGAUUAGGUAGAGAAAGGGAUGAUGAUUUGCAGCCGUGGAGUUGAGGAAGAGAAAGGUGCGUUGAUAAUGCUGGUCCGACCGACCGCUGUGUGUGGCGAAAGGUCAAAGUGGUAUUCUCUAGGAAGUUGGAACCGGCAAUCCUGUCCGUGGAGUAGGAA